Molecule: non-coding RNA, 342 nt
Organism: Ailuropoda melanoleuca (giant panda)
Lineage: Eukaryota; Metazoa; Chordata; Mammalia; Carnivora; Ursidae
Source: Rfam
GGAUAGGAGGGCACUCUGGCGGCGACAUCUGAAACCCCACUGAUCACCAGGGUGGAUCGGGCUGAUCUGGCUGGCUGGGCGGGCGUCGCUGUCCUCCCUCGCCGCUGCACAUGUGUCCCUCCUGAAGCUGCGAGCUCAGUGGAAGAGGACGACCUUCCCCGCAGAGGAGAGCCAUUCUUCGGUCAAGGGUUUACGCGUAGCUGCACUGCCCUGCUACACCCUGCAAACGAGCUCCCAAAGCCCGGCCCAAACGCCCUUUCCUCUGUGAGGCCAGCAGCAGGUACGCUUCCAUGGUGGAUAAGCUCUUCCCCAAGGGUCUGACCGCCCGGCGGGCUCUUCCUU